Molecule: long non-coding RNA, 1020 nt
Filed under: Capra hircus (goat)
Lineage: Eukaryota; Metazoa; Chordata; Mammalia; Artiodactyla; Bovidae
Description: lncRNA (ENSCHIG00010005795.1)
Source: RNAcentral
AAAGAAAACCUUCCUUAUAAGGCAUGUCUGAAGAGAUAUUUGGAAAAAUUACUUACUCUGCCUUUGUUUUGCCAAGUAGAGUAACUUUUAGAUCUUUUAUAUUUUUGAAAAAUUCUUAACCCGGUCAGUGUGGCCUACUAGAUUAAAUCUAGAGGGGAAAAAUGAAGAAGAAAUGAAGAUGAUGAUGAUGGCAAUGAUAAUGAUGCGUUUAGGUGCUCUGAAUAGGUUACUGAUGAGCCAUCUGCAGCAGGCCUGCUCCUGGAUGUCACGCCCCUGUUAAUGAAAUCUGGACGUGCACUGGAAAACGGACCUGGUGAAUGGUAGAUGUCAGCCCUUGCGUGAUGGGCAAUCAUCAAUCAUCCAUUGUCAGUUAUUUCUGUCCCAGUGAGUAAGCCUUUAUUUAAAGCAGAAAGUAAGAAUGUUGCCAGACCACAGGAACAAGCCCUGAGCUGUUUGCAGGUGCUGCUAUUCACAGCUGCCAAUUAAACUCCUGACAUUUCCAUAUUGGCCAUGAGGCACAGCAUAUGCUUUGGACAUACCAAAUCUUAAAAAAAAAAAAAAAAUCGUCACUCUCAGAUUAUCAAUACAUGUGUCUUUUUCCCCCAUGCUUUCAACAUUAGGAUUUUAAAGAUAGUUUAUUCUAGAAAUAGAGGAAGGAGAAACAAAAACUUAAGUGAAGGGAGUUAUUAAGAUGUGCGCAUAGCCUCCUUUCUUGCCUUUGGAAAGUGGCCAGCAUUUUAGAUGUGGAAAGUCUUUUCUGAUGCUGACAUCUACAUAGCAGAAAUCUCCUUUCAGGAUUUCCACUUUCAAAAAUCUUUUUCCUUCUAUCCUUAAAUUUUUUCUUACUAGUUGAUAACCAAAUGCUACUGCUUACCUCAUGUAAUCGAGUACUAUUAAAAGGAGAUAUUAAAAUUUUGAUCAUGCAACUAUAUUCCAUUUCUUUCAUUGGGAUUCAAACAUAAGUGUGCUUUGUGUUUAAAGAAUUUCAUGAAACUUGCCAGAGACAUUUUAGUCUUUCAU